This 1640-nucleotide long non-coding RNA is filed under the name Triticum aestivum (bread wheat). RNAcentral describes it as "long non-coding RNA (TAES_LNC005329)". Lineage: Eukaryota; Viridiplantae; Streptophyta; Magnoliopsida; Poales; Poaceae. The record is from RNAcentral.
AAUAAUACAACAUUUCCCAUACAUUUUUUAUCCAUUCAUUGACAUCAACCAAAAUAGGCAGGGGAGAGCACUCGGUACAAAACCAUACAGAAAUUGAAGAAGCAACAUGGUAUUUCCUGAUACAGAGUUGGACGGAUGCUCUGGGAUUUUUAGAACUGAUGAGGAAAUCACAUUUAGAAUCAACUCGGAUUUUUAAAGGAGUUUCAAACUGUAAUAAGAAAGUUCAACAUAGCUCUCAGAUAGCCACUCUGUAGAUCAAAAAAACAUAAAGCAUCUUAAGUUACCAAACGAUAACAUUGGAAGGUUACGGUUUGACCUAUCUCAAAUGUAGAGGUGACAUUAAAUGGCCACAACUUUCAGUCGCUAGUUGGAAGCAAAGUCAUCUCAUCAGUGACUAAUCGGUUAGCAGAACUUCUGAAGAGAAAUGGAAGCAGAGUCACUAGCGCCUUCGCGCACCCCACAGUGAGAUCCCUGGCGAUUCACCUGGAAAUGGGGUCAGAAAGCUCAUGUCGCACUGCACCUGGGAAUUGGAGUACAGUUCCUCAAUGUAAAGAAGAUGCAUCACAAAAUUGAUAUUAUUGAGUAUUGACUUAGAUUUGACGUGUUCUAUUUGAUGAAACAUAUGAGAAAGUAUAUUGUGUCCAAGAAUCAACAGGAAAACAGUAAGAGAAACAUCUAAUACAAUCUGCAACUAGGUAGUACUCCUACAAACCAUGCUGGCUGAGUAAUAGCUAAUCUGCAACUACAUAGUACUCCUACAAACGCAAGCAACCGUCUCACCUUCACUGACAACUGCGGAGUCUGCUUGAAGUUGGAACUGCGGUUCAAGUCUCAGAAGCAACAUAGUUGGACUGAAGCUCUACGAAUUUUAGAACUUAUGAAAAAAUGUGCAGGCGGAGCACAUAUAUCAGUAAUAGUUAUAUCGAGAGGGUUUACUUCAACCCCUACAUUUUUCAAUCAGUAAUACUUAUAUCAGUACCUCGUUAUUCAUCAAUACUAGUACGACUCGACAAGAAGUGCAAAAUUGUAGCAGCACACAGAUUGAACUUACACAAUUUUUCUUUUGAAACAUAUUUUAGGUGAUAUAUCUAGUUUUGAAACAUGAACUGAUGAUAUUUUUUUGCACGCACUAUGCUAUCUAAAAAUUGGACGAACAGAAACUAGAAAUUGGACUGAAGUAAACCUAGAAAAUUGAGCAACAGUGCUUGCUAAAUCAUGGGAGCUCCUAGGCAUUUGAUCAAAUACAACCAACGCCUAGCACUGUCAGCACCACAUCUGCAGCUGCAGUAACGCCACCAACUGAACGGGCUCUGGUGGUGUUGUUGAACGGCCUAGGUGGCCAGGUUUGAACGAAACCUGCAAGAUGAACCCAAGGGGAGCUCCUUCACCUGCAAGAUGAACAGAAAAUGCACACUAAGGCGACCUGAAGAACCACCAGAUGUUGAACUGAAUAUACGCAAGAUAAGGAGGUGAACGUCAAGGGGGAGGUGGGGAAAAGCUAGCACCUCCCGAGCUGCGGCGUAGAACGGCUUAGCGCUAUGUUGUAGAACCAUCAACGUUGAACCUGUUGAGUUCUGAUUUUUGAACCUUUGCAGUAGUAAUACAUGUACUGGGCGGUACAUGCUUCUGUUGUUGAGCAG